AUCAUUCUAGAAACACUUUCCAGUACCUCUACUUUGUUACGACUUAUUUCAAUUUUUAAAUGAAAGCGACGGGCAAUAUGUACAUAUUUUAAUUUUAAAUCAUCUUAUUAUAUUAAAUAAAAUUACAUUUAAAUCCACCUUCAUAUUAUUAUUACAAAAAAUAAUCCAUUUAAAUAAAUUUAUUGUAAUCCAUCAUAUUCUUAAUUAUAUUCUACAUCUUGAUCUGAAUUAAUUUUUAUUCAUAAUUUUUAAAUAUUAUUUUUAUUUUAAAAUAUUUUUUUAACAACGAUAUAUAAAAUUAUAAAUUAAGUAAAUUUAAUCGUGGAUUAUCAAUUAUUAGACAGAUUCCUCUAAAUGAACUAAAAUACCGCCAAAUUAUUUAAGUUUCAAUAAAUUAUUAUUUACUAUUUUAGUAUUAAAAUUAAAUUUUA
This 431-nucleotide ribosomal RNA is filed under the name Flos anniella. Its description in RNAcentral is "partial 12S small subunit ribosomal RNA". The record is from RNAcentral. Lineage: Eukaryota; Metazoa; Arthropoda; Insecta; Lepidoptera; Lycaenidae.